AUCCUGUUGUAUUGGCACCAUCUUCCCGAAGCACUUCGCGAUGAUGUUAUGACAUCCCCCGCCGCUGAUCUUGGUAUCGUAGCCACGGUGCUCCGGCCCGCCGUACGGACCUAUCAGCUGUGCGGCCCACAGCGCCGCCCACUCCUCGGAAAACGUCGCUGAAAAAAGACAAGCCAUAGUUGUUAAGUACCAUCACAAGGGAAAAACAACCAAGGCCCGAAAGAAAAAGGGGAGCGCCACUCACGUGUGGUGACAGCAUGCGGAGGACGGAAAGCCUGAGGAACACGAGAAACUCUCAAAGAGACUAGCAAGCAAAAAAAUAAGGGUAGCCAAGCUCCCUGGGCCGCUCAGCCCGCGCAGGUACAGGAAAGAGCCCACACGCAAAAAAAAAGAGAAAGGGAACAGGGGCCAAGCUUCGCGGGCCAACGCCCUCGGCCUGCCCGCGCGCGCAAGGGGAA
This 458-nucleotide long non-coding RNA is filed under the name Brachypodium distachyon (stiff brome). RNAcentral describes it as "long non-coding RNA (BDIS_LNC005917)". The record is from RNAcentral. Lineage: Eukaryota; Viridiplantae; Streptophyta; Magnoliopsida; Poales; Poaceae.